This 204-nucleotide long non-coding RNA is filed under the name Elaeis guineensis (African oil palm). Its description in RNAcentral is "long non-coding RNA (EGUI_LNC050971)". The record is from RNAcentral. Lineage: Eukaryota; Viridiplantae; Streptophyta; Magnoliopsida; Arecales; Arecaceae.
GCCUACUGAAGUUGUGGAAGAGGUCAUGGUUCUCUAUGAGUCUAUUUAUACUGACUGAUUAUAUAUCAAGGAUUUAAUCCGAUUGAAGACUUUAAAUCUAGUGCUUUUUGAAAGGCAACCUAAAUUUUUUAAUUUUUUUCUAACCUUUACUUUAGUAAUUUUUAUUUUUUGUAAGAAUAAUGGAUCACUUUGCAUGAAAGCAGC